RNAcentral lists this long non-coding RNA (614 nucleotides) under Capsicum annuum. Its description in RNAcentral is "long non-coding RNA (CANN_LNC016698)". The record is from RNAcentral. Lineage: Eukaryota; Viridiplantae; Streptophyta; Magnoliopsida; Solanales; Solanaceae.
GCCAAAUCGGUGAGCUAUAACCAAUGAUUUUGGGGGUGGGCCUAGGAUCCAGGCAUUUUGUGGGCCAAAUAUUGACUGGGGUAUGCCAGGGAGGUUGGGGAUCAUCCUAGGUUGGUUCGUUUAAUUUUUUGGGCUAUCUGGGUGGACAAACGGGAGAAAUGAUGUAAACGGGGCAUUUUUGGGCCAAAUCGGUGUGCUAUAGCCCACGAUUUUGGGGGUUGGCCUGGGAUCCUGGCAUGCUGUGGGCUCAAAAUCGACCGGGGAAUGUCAGGGAGGUUGGGGAUCAUCCCAUUAUGGUCCAUUUAAUUUUUCGUGGCCAUUUGGGUGGACAAAUGGGUGAAACGGUGUGAACACACCAUUUUUGGGCCAAAUCAGUGUACUAUAGCCCACGGUUUUGAAGGUGGGCUCGAGGUCCGGGCAUGCAGUGGGUCAAAAAUCAACUGGGGCAUUCUAGCGAGGUUGGGGAUCAUCUCGAUGUGGUUUAUUUAAUUUUUUGUCGCCAUUUGGGUGGACAAACGGGCAAAAUGGUGCGAACGAGACAUUUUUGGGCCAAAUCGGUUUGCUAUAGCCUACGGUUUAUGGGUUGGACCCGGGGUUCGGGCGUUCUAUGGGCC